RNAcentral lists this ribosomal RNA (369 nucleotides) under uncultured organism. Its description in RNAcentral is "bacterial SSU rRNA". It matches the Rfam family "Bacterial small subunit ribosomal RNA", at positions 526 to 896 of the family's 1533-position model. The record is from RNAcentral.
CGAAGGACCCGUAGCGUUAUCCGGAUUUAUUGGGUUUAAAGGGUGCGUAGGCGUCUUGGAAAGUUACGGUUGAAAUCUCCUUGCUUAACAAGGAAACUGGCCGUAAAACUAUCAGGAUUGAGUACAUUUGAAGCGGGCGGAAUGUGUCAUGUAGCGGUGAAAUGCUUAGAUAUGACACAGAACACCAAUUGCGAAGGCAGCUCGCUAAACUGUAACUGACGCUGAGGCACGAAAGCGUGGGGAUCAAACAGGAUUAGAUACCCUGGUAGUCCACGCCCUAAACGAUGAUUACUCGAUGUGUGCGAUACACUGUACGCGUCUGAGCGAAAGCAUUAAGUAAUCCACCUGGGGAGUACGAUCGCAAGAUUG